GAAUUCAAAGCAGCAACUGAGUACUCAGCACUGAGUACUCUGCGUACACAGCUGAGAGAACGACGUGCUGUAACUCAACCAGCAGCUGCGUCGGCAAAUACGUUAUUUUUCUGUAUGGGUGAGUGGAACGUAAGCAGAUGCCUUGUGGCUGGCAGACUCUCAGUAGUUUCUUACAAGGCAGCUAAAGCGAGACAGCAUGUUUGACGAGGAGCGACGGCUACAGCCGGUUCAGACAUACGCACACGCACACACAAGCGAAUGCACACAUUUCCAGUUAAUUAAAAGUAUUUAUGACAUUGCACACACACGCGUGCGUCACACACAUACAGAUAUAUACAAAUUCCUUGAGUACAAAAGUCCACAAGGAUCGUGGGAAGUUCCAUGCACAAACGAUCGCAAAAUAUUGUGCUAUCUAUGAGCUAAAAAAAAAAAAAAAAAAUCACGUAAAGAGAAAAAACCUAGCAUGCAUACAAGAGAGCAGUCUGCAAGGAAAGAAGAAGAACGUGGGGUGGGUAGCUCCUCAGCCCUAAGGGUGACGCUGUGAGAAAAGAUGGCAAAAAAAAAAAAAAAAAGGCACACACACACUGUUAAGCAGACGCUGUCUACUCAGCCCGAAAUGACGGGCCAAACUUCUCUAAAAAAAAAAAACUAAAGGAUAACAGCAUCUUAGGAGACUGCCUGGCUGUGGGGUCAUAAGAAGCAAAAGCGCAAAAAAAAAAAAAAAAAAAAAAUUCUGUCGAAAUUUAAAAAGGAAUUGUAGCAUGGAAGUUAAGUUACGUUUCCGAUAGGGCCAGGAAUAGAGCAUAUGAAUUGUCUGCUGGAUUUUUGAGGUAGGAUACAUACAUAUAUGUAUGUAUAAAAGCUUCCGGAUAAUUUAUUUGACUGAGUCAUAUAAACAACUCAUUUCUAGUCAAAAAAUAGCUUAAAUGAAUUUGUCCGAAAUCAAUGUAAGGACUACAAAAGAAAGGUUUAAAUCACCGUACGAAAUCUGCCCAGGGCUGACUAAAGCAGAACGAACCAGAAGAAUGAGUGAGAAUGAACGUCCUUAUAAUCGGCAAUCUCAUAGUCGUCGGCUUCGCCAUCGGCGAUUGCAGCAACCCCUUUUCCAGUGGGGCGCAAAAUAAUUUGUACAGACACUGCCUCUUCCUCCGCCUCGUCCUUCUCUGCUCUGCCGCAACGACAACGACAACGACAACGGCUUCGGCCUUUGCCUUUGCCUGCUGUGGCCUCUGCAUCUCCAAGGGCCAUAUACAGGCGACAUGGGAAAUGAAUGAGAGCUAUUGGAGAGAUGUCGACGACGUCGACGACGACGACAGAAGCGAAGUUGACGCUGCCGGCACAGCCGCGGAAUGCAAUCAACUUGAAAACAACUUGAGAGUCUUAGUGACGGCGAUAUUUAAAUUUUGAAAAAAGUAAAUAAGCAAGAGUGCUUCAGUCGGGAAUGCCUGACCAGGAUACCCUCGUCGGCGACAGAUACAAUCGAUAGUCAUGCGCAUAGUACGGACAGGGCUAGAUCCACUGGAGUCGUUCUCCUGAUCAAGGAUAUACAUACAUAUAUUAUUAAUAUAUAUACAUUUAUGCGCUUCCUUCAGCCUGUUACAUACAUUUUGACAAAGUCGUUGAACCCUGUUUCGUCAUUUUCAAUGGGUCCAGGGUAUAUAAACGGAAGGGACAUUAAAGUUAGAAAGGUUGACGUUGACGUUUACGUCCCUGCACGUUUGACAGAAUGUCAGUCAUAAUAUUGAUUGUUUAGUUGCCGUUAUUAUUAUUAAUGUAAUUAUCGUUGUCCCUGUGUAUGUGUAGUUUUUUCUUCUACAUUCUUAGGGCUACCAACUUUCAAGAAGGUCUGUGUUUAUGUCUGCGUAAAUUUUAAAAAUUUAUUAUUGAAUUCGCCGAGAGGGAAAAUAUAAAUCAUAUAAUAGAAACCCAGAGUUUCGGAUAUAUGUUAUUGUACAUAUGUAUAUUGUAGGGGCAACUAUCCAGAUUGCAUAUUUAUUUAAAUUACAUAUAAUAAAUUACAAAAUAUUUAUAUUUAAAUUAAGGUAAAUAUAACAUAAUUACAAUAUAUACAAAAUUAAACGAAACUUUCUUUUUAGAAAUGAACAUGAAAUAAACAUUCACUCUAUAAAAUAUGGCUAGAAAAACGGCCGUUCGAGUCUGACUUGGACUUGGACCUGGACUCUGAUACCGGCUCGAUUCUAGUCAACUUUGUUUUUAGUUCACUGUCACUGAACCUCUCGCAAAACCAUAAAUAGCGAGCUGAUGUCUGUCCACAUGUAUAUACAAAAAUUAUUUCUACAUCUGAAGCUGAUUGUUAUUUAUAAUUACUCGUCUCAAAGAACUGGAGAAUGACUUGGCAUGUCCGAAAGCAGUUUAGAACAAUUAGAAAUCAGCUCAGAAGUAAUUUUCGCAGUUGAUCAGGGUAGAUAUAAAAUGAUCGAAUUGUUCCAUUUUUGUACCCAUAUAUAUAUAAGUAAUUGUGAGGGGAUCUCCACAAGAAUGAACAACACAAUUGUAAUUUUCA
Drosophila mojavensis is the source of this 2524-nucleotide long non-coding RNA. RefSeq lists it as uncharacterized. The transcript is spliced from 2 exons. The record is from RefSeq and is a predicted model, not a curated record. NCBI's taxonomy places the organism in Eukaryota, Metazoa, Arthropoda, Insecta, Diptera, Drosophilidae.